Molecule: ribosomal RNA, 253 nt
Filed under: uncultured bacterium
Lineage: Bacteria
Description: partial 16S ribosomal RNA
Rfam family: Bacterial small subunit ribosomal RNA
Source: RNAcentral
UACGUAGGGUGCGAGCGUUAAUCGGAAUUACUGGGCGUAAAGCGUGCGCAGGCGGUUUUGUAAGCCAGAUGUGAAAGCCCCGGGCUUAACCUGGGAAUGGCAUUUGGGACUGCAAGGCUGGAGUGUGGCAGAGGAGACUGGAAUUCCUGGUGUAGCAGUGAAAUGCGUAGAUAUCAGGAGGAAUACCGAUGGCGAAAGCAGGUCUCUGGGCUGACACUGACGCUCAUGCACGAAAGCGUGGGGAGCAAACAGG